Molecule: ribosomal RNA, 627 nt
Filed under: uncultured bacterium
Lineage: Bacteria
Description: bacterial SSU rRNA
Rfam family: Bacterial small subunit ribosomal RNA
Source: RNAcentral
UAGUGAUUACUCCUACGGGAGGCAGCAGUGGGGAAUAUUGGACAAUGGGGGGAACCCUGAUCCAGCCAUGCCGCGUGUGUGAAGAAGGCCUUAUGGUUGUAAAGCACUUUAAGCGAGGAGGAGGCUACUGAGACUAAUACUCUUGGAUAGUGGACGUUACUCGCAGAAUAAGCACCGGCUAACUCUGUGCCAGCAGCCGCGGUAAUACAGAGGGUGCGAGCGUUAAUCGGAUUUACUGGGCGUAAAGCGUGCGUAGGCGGCUUUUUAAGUCGGAUGUGAAAUCCCCGAGCUUAACUUGGGAAUUGCAUUCGAUACUGGGAAGCUAGAGUAUGGGAGAGGAUGGUAGAAUUCCAGGUGUAGCGGUGAAAUGCGUAGAGAUCUGGAGGAAUACCGAUGGCGAAGGCAGCCAUCUGGCCUAAUACUGACGCUGAGGUACGAAAGCAUGGGGAGCAAACAGGAUUAGAUACCCUGGUAGUCCAUGCCGUAAACGAUGUCUACUAGCCGUUGGGGCCUUUGAGGCUUUAGUGGCGCAGCUAACGCGAUAAGUAGACCGCCUGGGGAGUACGGUCGCAAGACUAAAACUCAAAUGAAUUGACGGGGGCCCCCACAAGCGGUGGAGCAUGUGGA